Chinchilla lanigera (long-tailed chinchilla) is the source of this 1462-nucleotide long non-coding RNA. RefSeq lists it as uncharacterized. The record is from RefSeq and is a predicted model, not a curated record. NCBI's taxonomy places the organism in Eukaryota, Metazoa, Chordata, Mammalia, Rodentia, Chinchillidae. The transcript has 9 exons.
UUGAAUAACGGUCGCCACAUCAGGAUGCAGACGGCUCCAUCACUCCUCACCCUCUCCUACUGCCACUAACGUCUCACCCUUCCGUAUCUGCACGCGGCAACCUCUAUUCCAUUUUCCAACACGGCGCUGUCUUCCCGUCUUAUAAUGAACUCAAACUGUGUAACCUUUUAUCCUUUCCAUUCGUUGGUAUGCACUUUUCUUCACUGGGUGUCAGUUGAGAAGCAUAAAUGUUAAAUGUCUCGUUUUCAUUGCAAAGAACAUUGCCCACAUUCUAGAAUGAAAAGUCGUGAAUAAAGAUAAACAGCUUUUUCACGUUUUCUUAAUGGACCAUCAGAGCCAGGCUUCCAGCAACAUUGCAUUCUAGAAUUCUUGGAAACUACUCACUCACUGAAGAAUCUGUUUCUGGAACUUCCCCGUCAACACAAGGUGCUACAAUGACCUAGAAAGGAUAUUAUUCUUCAAAACUGAGAACCUGAGGCACAAAAGAGAGAAAACAUCUGAGCUACAUGAAAAGCACCGAUGUGUAUACAGUUGGUGUAAGAAGAUAAGUGGAAUAGCAACAGAUAUUCUAUGGAUUUGCCAUUGUAAAUGUAGACAAAGCCUCAGAGCCUCCAGAUAAGAAAUCUUCUAGUGUGCUACCUUGUUUUGGCUUUGUGAGAGUUUGACUAUAAAAUCUAGUGGAACUUCUCCGGGCUCUGACUGGCAAAACUCUGAGCUAAUAAGUGGGCAUUAUCUUAAAUUGCUAACUUUGAGCUUCUGUACAAGGCCUUGAAAGAACUUGCCUGACUAAUGGAUGUUUAGAGAAUAUGUUCUGACUAAUUGAGUUUCUGGUGAACUGCACUUACCUGCAUGAAUCAGAAAACAAAAUCGCAUAUCAAGUUAAUUAUCUUGUGAACUGCACUAAACAACAGGAGAUCUGAGGAGAAAGAGCAUCUCCGGACUUAGCCGUAAACUACCUGCAAAGGGGCUGGAAGUGGUGGUUGUUUUUGGCAUCCUGGAAAAGAAAACAGAAUUGAUGAGGCGGAUGAAAGUGACGAAUGGGGAUGAUACGCUGAAGGUCUGCACAAAGAAUGAGAAGAUUUUUGCUCAACUGCCUUUCAAGUUUGAGUAAGAUUUCAUUGAAUGUGUUAUAGAAGAACUAAGGCCAAAGCCCAUGUCAUUGCUAGAGUCCUCAGAUUCUUCUCUUUGUUUCCCCUCACUCCUCUCAUCUGGAAAGCAGUGGCAGAGGGGCAAAGUCCUACAUGAGCCCUUCCAUGACAGAUGAGGCUGCUAACUUCACGUUGUCCAGGGCCUUUACAAACAAACCAGAUACUCUUGGGUCCAUUCCUCGUUAUUUCUGAUUUGUCAGAAGAAUGCUCUAAAAUGGAUCACAACAUUUGGAUGUCCAGCUACACUGUCUGAGAAAGUUCAUCUCUUCUUUUUUCCAUCUCAAAUACUAUAUUGAAUUAAAAAUCAAUGUAAA